Molecule: ribosomal RNA, 691 nt
Filed under: Chromohalobacter sp. YIM 94221
Lineage: Bacteria; Pseudomonadati; Pseudomonadota; Gammaproteobacteria; Oceanospirillales; Halomonadaceae
Description: bacterial SSU rRNA
Rfam family: Bacterial small subunit ribosomal RNA
Source: RNAcentral
AGCGGUAACGGGUCCAGCUUGCUGGAUGCCGACGAGCGGCGGACGGGUGAGUAAUGCAUAGGAAUCUGCCCAGUCGUGGGGGAUAACCUGGGGAAACCCAGGCUAAUACCGCAUACGUCCUACGGGAGAAAGCGGGGGCUCUUCGGACCUCGCGCGAUUGGAUGAGCCUAUGUCGGAUUAGCUAGUUGGUGAGGUAACGGCUCACCAAGGCGACGAUCCGUAGCUGGUCUGAGAGGAUGAUCAGCCACACCGGGACUGAGACACGGCCCGGACUCCUACGGGAGGCAGCAGUGGGGAAUAUUGGACAAUGGGCGCAAGCCUGAUCCAGCCAUGCCGCGUGUGUGAAGAAGGCUUUCGGGUUGUAAAGCACUUUCAGUGGGGAAGAAGGCCUGCCGGUCAAUACCCGGCAGGAACGACAUCACCCACAGAAGAAGCACCGGCUAACUCCGUGCCAGCAGCCGCGGUAAUACGGAGGGUGCGAGCGUUAAUCGGAAUUACUGGGCGUAAAGCGCGCGUAGGCGGCUAAGUAAGCCGGUUGUGAAAGCCCCGGGCUCAACCUGGGAAUGGCAUCCGGAACUGUUGAGCUAGAGUGCAGGAGAGGAAGGUAGAAUUCCCGGUGUAGCGGUGAAAUGCGUAGAGAUCGGGAGGAAUACCAGUGGCGAAGGCGGCCUUCUGGACUGACACUGACGCU